RNAcentral lists this ribosomal RNA (374 nucleotides) under uncultured bacterium. RNAcentral's name for it is "bacterial SSU rRNA". It matches the Rfam family "Bacterial small subunit ribosomal RNA", at positions 524 to 896 of the family's 1533-position model. The record is from RNAcentral.
GACGAGGGGUCCAAGCGUUGUUCGGAAUUAUUGGGCGUAAAGCGGGUGUAGGUGGAUCUAUAAGUCAGGAGUGAAAGCCCCGAGCUCAACUUGGGAAGUGCUUUUGAUACUGUAGAUCUUGAGUGUGGGAGAGGAUCGUGGAAUUCCAGGUGUAGUGGUGAAAUACGUAGAUAUCUGGAGGAACACCGGUGGCGAAGGCGGCGAUCUGGCCCAACACUGACACUGAGACCCGAAAGCGUGGGGAUCAAACAGGAUUAGAUACCCUGGUAGUCCACGCCGUAAACGAUGGACACUUGUUGUUGGAGGUAUUGACCCCUUCAGUGACGAAGCUAACGCGUUAAGUGUCCCGCCUGGGGAGUACGGCCGCAAGGUUA